UCUCUGGUGGUUCAGAGGGUAAAGCAUCUGCCUGCAAUGCAGGAGACCCAGGUUCUAUUCCUAGGUCGGGAA
This 72-nucleotide transfer RNA is filed under the name Bos taurus (domestic cattle). It matches the Rfam family "tRNA". Rfam says of the family: Transfer RNA (tRNA) molecules are approximately 80 nucleotides in length. RNAcentral also lists the same sequence under 2 other names. Lineage: Eukaryota; Metazoa; Chordata; Mammalia; Artiodactyla; Bovidae. The record is from Rfam by way of RNAcentral.